CUAUGUAUGGUACAACAAGAAUGAAAUGUUGACAUAUUAUGUGUUUGCUGACUUCUCAAUGCACCCUGAUGUGAUAUUGAGAUGUGCAUACACUUCUUUAUAACUUUGCCUUUCCCCCUAUAACAUGGAGUUUUGUUUGACCCAUAUGUUAGAAUUUGGUCAUUACUCUAAAUUUGUAUGUAUGCAUGAACAAGAGGUGGAUAAUUGAAUAGUUUAUGUUAUAUUAUAUAAUGGGCACUGAUAGUUCUUGAUUCUGAUUGGCUGGGAGGUGUCAAUUAAGGACAGAUCAUAUAUUUCAGGUCUGUGUUUUUAUGUUUUUGUUCAAGGAAAUCCAUUAAUAUGUCAACUGCCAACUUUGUAGUCUUGAUAUUUUUCUUGUGUUCCUCCUCCAUGUGCUGUUUCUGCUUCUGUUUUGUGUCUGAUGUUUUCUAUUUCUUACUCAUGAAAAGCAGCCUUUCCACUCUUUAAAAGUGCCAUGUUCACCAAACACUUUAAAUAAGAUGUUAACGUCCCUGCUUCUCGUGUUUAUUUCUUUAUCCAGAAGUUGUUUUAUGUGAAACACAAGCGAAAAUAAGGCGCUUUUGUGAUACUGUGAAGUACUGAAGCUUCAGUAGAUUGCUGUGGUUACCUACAGUUAAAUACAGAUGCAUUAAUUUAGAAUGGCAGACAAAUACCUGCAUUAUGACAUUAUUUCUGUCCAGUUACUCAAAGAUAACCCGCACCCUCUAGCCAAUAAGACUCUAGUCUGGUACAAGGAGAAUACUUCACAUCAUUCAGUACAAUCAUAGAACUUACACCUCAUAACAUCCAAUCCACUACAAUCCAGCCUCAAACAUUUCCACAGUUCUAAAUUAAAGUAUUACUGUUGUUUUGUCCAUCUCCUGUUUUUGUUCUUUCUUAAUGAUUUGAACACUUUAGUGCUGACUUGCAAAUGUGACACGUUCCAGUUAGCAUUCCGGGUCAUCAAACAGAGGUAGGGGUCAUUGUCAGUGAGGGCCGUCAGCACCAAAGAAUCUCCCACAGGAAACACUCUGGCACAAGCUUUUUUACUGCCACAGCAGCUGAGGAAAAAUGCCUCUGUAUUUUGUUCCCUGAUGCUGUUGUCCCAGGGAGAGUGUGAUGAUAAGGUUACAGAAUAUUGGCAAUUAACCUGGUUUACAUUUGUCAAAUGUGUUCAUUAUCACAUGAACAUUACGGGACGUUCAAACCAACCAACUUGAGUGUCUGUAAUCAAAUUUAACUUUUACUUUGAGCUGAUGUGUCUGUUUGCUUGUCAUUGUUUACAGAAUGACUGCAAGAGUUUGCAGUGUUGUCGGAGCCAAAUAGUCUGCUGACAGGAUGGAUUAUGUUCCUCUCGAUUUACAUUUUAUUGGAAGUAAAGCACUGAACCUUGACCCGCUACAUCCAUGGCCACAUCUGCAGUGACUACAAGCCACACAAACCCCAGGUUUGUGAGCCAAUGGGAAGACAGUAGGGUCUCCAGGCAUGAGGUGUGACACUUCCAUCGACAGCGGUCUGUGAGGCUGCAGUGUGUGUGGUCAGUCUGUCUUUGUUUGCUACUGCUGGAGUUGGCAGCUCUGCUCUACUUCACUCGAUGUGUCUGGGUGAUGGGGUAUAAAGUACCGUUGCAGUUGAGUUCCACCUUUCUUAAAACCCUGGAAUGUGCACGCUCUAAAUUGCCCAGGUGCUGCACUGCCCUCAUAAUGUAGCUCUGCCUUUUUCUUCUUGUUUAGUAAUACAUAGAAAAGUGACGUUAGAAGCUUUUUCGAGAACCGCUUGUUCAAAACAUUUUGCACUGCACUUCCUUGAUUCCACAGCAAUACACCAAAUUUAAGUCGAUCAGAACAUCCUGCUCAGGAUAAAAAAAAAAUUUUAAAAAAUCACCAUAAACAUCAAGCCCUGCACACCAGCUCUUUUUCUUUUGUUGAUAACUGAGUUUCCUUUUUUCCCCCUAAGUUUAAAUUAGUCAUUUUUCUAUAAUUCUGUACACCCACACCAAACCAAUCUGAACUGUAUGGUUUCUGUCCGAGGAAAAGUGCAAAUAAACCAUAUACUGUGUGAGGAUUAUGUUCCUCCCUCCUUGUGUGUUUACAUCCACCACUUGCAGUGCCUGUGCUUGCAGGCGUUAUGACACACUGUUAAUAUGUCAAUAAAACCUGUUUACUUCACCUGUA
Long non-coding RNA from Lates calcarifer (barramundi perch), 2174 nucleotides. RefSeq lists it as uncharacterized. NCBI's taxonomy places the organism in Eukaryota, Metazoa, Chordata, Actinopteri, Centropomidae. The transcript has 4 exons. The record is from RefSeq and is a predicted model, not a curated record.